GACGAACGCUGGCGGCGUGCUUAACACAUGCAAGUCGAACGGAAAGGCCCUGCUUUUGUGGGUUUCUCGUUUGGCGAACGGGUGAGUAACACGUGUGUAUCCUGCCCUUGUCUUUGUGAUAUCUCCACGAAACUGGGGCUAAUACCGGGUAGGAUCUCCUGCUCCAUGUUGGUGGUUGGAAAGUUUCGGCGGUUGGGGAUGUACUCGAGGCUUAUCCGCUUGUUGGUGGGGUAGUGGCUUACCAAGGCUUUGACGGGUAGCCGGCCUGAGAGGGUGAACGGCGACAUUGGGACUGAGAUACGGACCAGAAGGCUACGGGAGGCAGUAGGGGGGAAUAUGGCACAAUGGGCGGAAGCCUGAGGCAGCAACGCCGCGUGCGGGAUGACGGCCUUCGGGUUGUAAACAGAUGUCGCCGGUGACGAAGCGUGAGUGACGGUAAUGGGUAAAGAAGCACCGGCUAACUACGUG
RNAcentral lists this ribosomal RNA (468 nucleotides) under uncultured bacterium. RNAcentral's name for it is "partial 16S ribosomal RNA". It matches the Rfam family "Bacterial small subunit ribosomal RNA", at positions 28 to 507 of the family's 1533-position model. The record is from RNAcentral.